GAUGAACGCUGGCGGCGUGCCUAAUACAUGCAAGUCGAGCGAACGGACGAGAAGCUUGCUUCUCUGAUGUUAGCGGCGGACGGGUGAGUAACACGUGGAUAACCUACCUAUAAGACUGGGAUAACUUCGGGAAACCGGAGCUAAUACCGGAUAAUAUUUUGAACCGCAUGGUUCAAAAGUGAAAGACGGUCUUGCUGUCACUUAUAGAUGGAUCCGCGCUGCAUUAGCUAGUUGGUAAGGUAACGGCUUACCAAGGCAACGAUGCAUAGCCGACCUGAGAGGGUGAUCGGCCACACUGGAACUGAGACACGGUCCAGACUCCUACGGGAGGCAGCAGUAGGGAAUCUUCCGCAAUGGGCGAAAGCCUGACGGAGCAACGCCGCGUGAGUGAUGAAGGUCUUCGGAUCGUAAAACUCUGUUAUUAGGGAAGAACAGAUGUGUAAGUAACCGUGCACAUCUUGACGGUACCUAAUCAGAAAGCCACGGCUAACUACGUG
Molecule: ribosomal RNA, 497 nt
Filed under: uncultured bacterium
Lineage: Bacteria
Description: partial 16S ribosomal RNA
Rfam family: Bacterial small subunit ribosomal RNA
Source: RNAcentral